Molecule: ribosomal RNA, 488 nt
Filed under: uncultured bacterium
Lineage: Bacteria
Description: bacterial SSU rRNA
Rfam family: Bacterial small subunit ribosomal RNA
Source: RNAcentral
AUUGAACGCUGGCGGCAUGCCUAACACAUGCAAGUCGAACGGUAACGACGGGAGCUUGCUCCCGGGCGACGAGUGGCGGACGGGUGAGUAACACUUAGGAAUCUGCCCAGUAGUGGGGGACAACCAGGAGAAAUCCUGGCUAAUACCGCAUACGCACUACGGUGGAAAGUGGGGGAUCUUCGGACCUCACGCUAUUGGAUGAGCCUAAGUCGGAUUAGCUUGUUGGUGAGGUAAAGGCUCACCAAGGCGACGAUCCGUAGCUGGUCUGAGAGGACGAUCAGCCACACUGGGACUGAGACACGGCCCAGACUCCUACGGGAGGCAGCAGUGGGGAAUAUUGGACAAUGGGCGCAAGCCUGAUCCAGCAAUGCCGCGUGUGUGAAGAAGGCCUGCGGGUUGUAAAGCACUUUCAGUAGAGAAGAAAAGCCUAGGGUUAAUAGCCCUGAGUCUUGACGUAACCUACAGAAGAAGCACCGGCUAACUCCGUG